Capsicum annuum is the source of this 118-nucleotide non-coding RNA. Lineage: Eukaryota; Viridiplantae; Streptophyta; Magnoliopsida; Solanales; Solanaceae. The record is from Rfam.
AGGAACCGUAUGAUAUGGAAGUCUCAUGUACGGUUCUCUGAGAAGGGAGUGGCCACCUACUGGAGCUUCAACCAAGAACCACCGAUCAAUUCUGCUUUGGGGCCACCCCUGACUCUAU